Molecule: ribosomal RNA, 404 nt
Filed under: uncultured bacterium
Lineage: Bacteria
Description: bacterial SSU rRNA
Rfam family: Bacterial small subunit ribosomal RNA
Source: RNAcentral
GGGGAAUCUUGGACAAUGGGGCGCAAGCCUGAUCCAGCCAUGCCGCGUGAGUGAUGAAGGCCCUAGGGUUGUAAAACUCUUUCGUGGGGGACGAUAAUGACGGUACCCCAAGAAGAAGCUCCGGCUAACUUCGUGCCAGCAGCCGCGGUAAUACGAAGGGGGCUAGCGUUGUUCGGAUUUACUGGGCGUAAAGCGCGUGUAGGCGGACUGGAAAGUUGGGGGUGAAAUCCCGAGGCUCAACCUCGGAACUGCCUCCAAAAACUUCCAGUCUGGACUCAAGUAGAGGCAAGUGGAAUUGCGAGUGUAGAGGUGAAAUUCGUAGAUAUUCGCAGGAACACCAGUGGCGAAGGCGACUUGCUGGACUUGAGUGACGCUGAGACGCGAAAAGCGUGGGGAGCAAACAG